RNAcentral lists this ribosomal RNA (253 nucleotides) under uncultured bacterium. RNAcentral describes it as "partial 16S ribosomal RNA". It matches the Rfam family "Bacterial small subunit ribosomal RNA", at positions 524 to 776 of the family's 1533-position model. The record is from RNAcentral.
UACGUAGGGUGCAAGCGUUAAUCGGAAUUACUGGGCGUAAAGCGUGCGCAGGCGGUUCUAUAAGACAGAUGUGAAAUCCCCGGGCUCAACCUGGGAACCUGCAUUUGUGACUGUAGAGCUGGAGUACGGUAGAGGGGAUGGAAUUCCGCGUGUAGCAGUGAAAUGCGUAGAUAUGCGGAGGAACACCGAUGGCGAAGGCAAUCCCCUGGACCUGUACUGACGCUCAUGCACGAAAGCGUGGGGAGCAAACAGG